Molecule: long non-coding RNA, 593 nt
Filed under: Homo sapiens (human)
Lineage: Eukaryota; Metazoa; Chordata; Mammalia; Primates; Hominidae
Description: HSALNT0150811
Source: RNAcentral
UACCCAGUUGUCCUUGAAAAAGUUUCCCAGCUGCUCUGACUUGCCUUUCUUUUUUGUUAUAUAUUUUCUACAUCCCACUUGAGAGUUCUAUCAAAUCCUGCAAGGCUAUUUUGCAGAUGUUUGAUACCUUUGUACCUAUUUGUCACAGCAAACGUGAAAGAAGUUCUGGCUUACCAUAAUCUACAAGGGGUUUUGAUUUUUCUCCCAUUUAUACACAGUGGUGAACAGAUAUAUGAAAAUGACUCCAUGGGGCUUUCACUGGGGCCCAAAUAUCCAUGCUUUGUGUGACUCUAAACUGCUAUGUACAAAUGAUGGACCUUUAAACAUGCACCCCCCGGCAAAUGUCAACUAAAUCAUCAUUAUUUCUGGAAUAUGAGCAGGUGGUGCGGCAGGAGGGACAAGUCAUUGAUCUUCCAAUUUAUCCGCUACUCUUACAUAUCCUGAGGUCGAGGCAGCCUGGAGAGAUUGAUGGAGUGCUGGCGCCUGCCCAGCAGCCGUGUGUUCCUCAUGCAUGAAAAUCAACCACAGGAAACCGAAAUUCGACAAUUGGCAGCAAUAUCAGCCACCUCUGUAAUAAAUAUAACAGGGCGUUC